UACGAACGCUGGCGGCGUGCUUAACACAUGCAAGUCGAACGGAAAGGCCCUGCUUUUGUGGGGUGCUCGAGUGGCGAACGGGUGAGUAGCACGUGAGUAACCUGCCCUUGACUUUGGGAUAACUUCAGGAAACUGGGGCUAAUACCGGAUAGGAGCUCCUGCUGCAUGGUGGGGGUUGGAAAGUUUCGGCGGUUGGGGAUGGACUCGCGGCUUAUCAGCUUGUUGGUGGGGUAGUGGCUUACCAAGGCUUUGACGGGUAGCCGGCCUGAGAGGGUGACCGGCCACAUUGGGACUGAAAUACGGCCCGGCCUCCUACGGGAGGCAGCAGUGGGGAAUAUUGCACAAUGGGCGGAAGCCUGAUGCAGCAACGCCGCGUGCGGGAUGACGGCCUUCGGUUUGUAAACCGCUUUCGCCUGUGACGAAGCGUGAGUGACGGUAAUGGGUAAAGAAGCACCGGCUAACUACGUG
Molecule: ribosomal RNA, 468 nt
Filed under: uncultured bacterium
Lineage: Bacteria
Description: partial 16S ribosomal RNA
Rfam family: Bacterial small subunit ribosomal RNA
Source: RNAcentral